Molecule: long non-coding RNA, 544 nt
Organism: Pipistrellus kuhlii (Kuhl's pipistrelle)
Lineage: Eukaryota; Metazoa; Chordata; Mammalia; Chiroptera; Vespertilionidae
Exons: 2
Source: RefSeq, a predicted model, not a curated record
UAUUGUUCAAGUAUGCAUAUAAAUAAUUAUAAUCAGUUUAAAAUUAAGUCUUCCUACAUUCCAAAACCCAGUCCCUCUCUCCAGAGCAACACUUACUAAUUCGUUUAUGCUCCUUCCAGAGAUACUAUAUGCUUGUUCAACUCUAUGUAUCUACCUAUCUACCUAUUAUUUAUCUCUGUCUGCUUUUAUUUUUAAACAAAUGAUGUUAUAAGUUUCUCUAGAAAUCACAUAUUGGUGACUAGAUUUCAUUUGUUGCCAAAGAAUGUAUGUUACAGAAACUAACAUCAUGCUAUUUGUGAUAGCCCCACAUUAUUUAAUGUUUGCAUAAUAUUUCAAUAGAAGCAUUUUCAGAAUAAUUUAUCUUGGCCCUUAUACAUGCACAUUUCGGUGGUUUCCAUAUUUUGAUCUCAUGAAUGAUGCUUCCCUUUGUAUCACAUUUUUGUCAUUAUCACCUCCCUAUUCUUACAAGGGAGUAUAAUUUCAGAGGAAUUGAAUAUCUGGUUCAAAAAAGUAUGCAUUUUAAAUUUGAAAAAAAUUAAGACCU